This 468-nucleotide ribosomal RNA is filed under the name uncultured bacterium. RNAcentral describes it as "partial 16S ribosomal RNA". It matches the Rfam family "Bacterial small subunit ribosomal RNA", at positions 28 to 507 of the family's 1533-position model. The record is from RNAcentral.
GAUGAACGCUGGCGGCGUGCUUAACACAUGCAAGUCGAACGGUGAAGGCGGAGCUUGCUCUGCUGGAUCAGUGGCGAACGGGUGAGUAACACGUGAGCAACCUGCCCUUGACUUUGGGAUAAGCGCUGGAAACGGCGUCUAAUACUGGAUACGAGCUGCGAAGGCAUCUUCAGCAGCUGGAAAGCACUUCGGUCAGGGAUGAGCUCGCGGCCUAUCAGCUUGUUGGUGAGGUAACGGCUCACCAAGGCGUCGACGGGUAGCCGGCCUGAGAGGGUGACCGGCCACACUGGGACUGAGACACGGCCCAGACUCCUACGGGAGGCAGCAGUGGGGAAUAUUGCACAAUGGGCGAAAGCCUGAUGCAGCAACGCCGCGUGAGGGACGACGGCCUUCGGGUUGUAAACCGCUUUUAGCAGGGAAGAAGCGAAAGUGACGGUACCUGCAGAAAAAGCGCCGGCUAACUACGUG